Molecule: non-coding RNA, 275 nt
Organism: Heterocephalus glaber (naked mole-rat)
Lineage: Eukaryota; Metazoa; Chordata; Mammalia; Rodentia; Bathyergidae
Source: Rfam
GGAUGUGAGGGUGAUCUGGCUGUGGCAUCUUCACCCCGUUGAUCACCAGGGUUGAUUUGGCUGAUCUUGCUGGCCAGGUGGGUGUCCCCUUCCUGCCUCACUGCUCUAUAUGUGUCCUUCCCGAAAUUCAGAGCUCAGUGGAAGAAGAUGACCAUCUCUGACAGAGGAGAAUCAAAAUAAUACAGCUAAUAUAUCAUUUUUAUUUUAUAAAUAUUACUUUUAAAAUUUAAUCUACUACAGGUCAUUUGUUUUAUGUUCAUGAAGUACAUAUGUAU